This 777-nucleotide long non-coding RNA is filed under the name Rattus norvegicus (Norway rat). Its description in RNAcentral is "long non-coding RNA NONRATT029973". The record is from RNAcentral. Lineage: Eukaryota; Metazoa; Chordata; Mammalia; Rodentia; Muridae.
CACUUUGUAUUUCCCAAAGUAAUGCUUCUACCGCUGACUUGAAGGGGAGUAGGGGAGCUGCACCUGGAGCUCGCUCUGCCCUGUGGAGAUGUAGAGUGACUUGUUAUUGUUUCUUUUUCUCUCAUCUGUCUUAUCUAGCUCCUGCCAGCUGCUCAGUGCUAACACCACGGUGGGCAAGUAACAGGAUCAAUGGCAUGGGAAUCCUACCUAGAUUCUGUGGGUCCCACUUUAUGGUAUGGAGAGGUAUCUUUUCCACAGCAGCCUGCUCUUUCCAUAGGAAGGCUAUACUGAUGCAGACACCUGUCUAACCUAAGGAACCCUCUCCGUUUGUGAGCCUUCCACUUCCUCAGCAGGGAGGCCUGCUUCUCCAAGUCGGCCUGUAACCCUCAACCUUACCAAGUGAGUCAAGGGCCUUUCUACCUGCACACAUAGUCACUUGGAGAAAAUGGAGUGUAUAUAACUCCCCUCAGAUGGUCUAUCUGUAAGGUAAGGCAUUCACAUAAGGAUCUCUCCCCAAGUCCCCACCUAUCUGUCCCCAGUCACCUGUCUUGGUUUUCUGGCAGGGGUCUGUGGAGACGCAAAUUAAGUGGAGGUUUCCUUCUCUAAGGGCUUUGUUUCCCUCUGAUGCCCCAGCUCAUACUGCAGAACAAAGGGAGGAGGUUAGUGAUUUCUCUUUCAGUCUCCUGGUCCCUAAUUUCCACCUCUCCUCCACAGGGUUCCUCUUUGAGACUGCAGGGAAGCCUGGGGUGCAGGUGGGGUCAGGUCCAAAACACUAUA